AAAAGGAAAAGUAAAACUCGAGCAAGGAAAACAGAAAAAAAAAUUCGUGCACCAGAAAUGUUUGAAAAAACAAAUUCGUGCAGAGACUUUCAUUGAUAGGGAAAAUUAUAAGUUGACAGGGCCUAUCAGAGGUACAGUGUAAGGGUGUCCCCCAAAUUUGGAAAAUAAGCGUUUUAAUCAUGUUUUAAUCAUUUGGAAAAUGCGUUUUAAACUUUAACUAAAGUGAUGUUAGUUCGAAAAAAAUUUUUUUGACCG
Molecule: non-coding RNA, 255 nt
Organism: Paramuricea clavata
Lineage: Eukaryota; Metazoa; Cnidaria; Anthozoa; Malacalcyonacea; Plexauridae
Source: the annotation of a GenBank genome assembly